AAUUUGUCCUGACCGUUGCAAGUGCUUUCCCCUCAAGUGUCACUAAAAUACAAGUAGAAUCAAAAUACUUGCACACCUAUGAUGUUGAAUGGUUCCACCUGCACCCUGCGUUCUCAGCUUCUCCAUCAAUAAAGAAUAACAUUGCUGUUAUUAAGUUGACCAACAAGGUGCCAAGAUCAGUUCAAGAUCUUGUUAGACCGAUCUGCUUGGGACUGAACUUGAGUCCCCCAACGGCGUGGAACGCUUUCCUCUACAGUCUCAAUGACGCUUUUAUGGGCAUUAAAAUGGUGGACUUAAAGAAGAUCGAUAAUUGCUCUGCGAAGACUAAAUUGCCUGUACAACGCGAUCAGUUUUGUAUCGAGAAGCCUGACCAAUCGAAGUAUGCACCUUAUGAGACCCCUGGCUCUGUGAUAGGUACUAUGCAAACGAUAGGGGGCUCCGAAAGAUAUCUCAUUGCUGCACUUAUAAGCCAUAUUCAGGAUAAUGUAAUCGUCCUUACAAAAAUUCAAGACCACCAAAAAUGGAUUGCGAAUGAGUUGAAAGGUUGAAUUAAA
Molecule: non-coding RNA, 554 nt
Organism: Drosophila takahashii
Lineage: Eukaryota; Metazoa; Arthropoda; Insecta; Diptera; Drosophilidae
Source: RefSeq, a predicted model, not a curated record